AGGAAGGAGAAGUCGUAACAAGGUUUCCGUAGGUGAACCUGCGGAAGGAUCAUUGUCGAGACCGAAAAAUAUAUCGAGCGAUUCAGACAACACGUGAAAUGAGCGAACAACCAUCCUAGCUGUCGCCCCAGAAUCUGUUUUAGAGGAAGGGGCGCAGCGGAGGUGGAUGAACCUCAAACAGGCGCAGCAUCGCGUCAAGGGAAGAUUAAAAUCCACGAGCCUCACAUUGGGCUUGGUGGCGUGGAGUGCUAUUGCACGCCACGUAGGCAGGCACGACUCUCGGCAAUGGAUAUCUCGGCUCUUGCAUCGAUGAAGAGCGCAGCGAAAUGCGAUACGUGGUGCGAAUUGCAGAAUCCCGCGAACCAUCGAGUCUUUGAACGCAAGUUGCGCCCGAGGCCAGCCGGCCAAGGGCACGUCUGCCUGGGCGUCAAGCGUUGCAUCGCUCCGUGCCAAUUGUCUCACCGAUCGGUGUAUUGAGCUAGGCUCGGAUGCGUAGAGUGGCCCGUCGUGCUUGUCGGUGCGGCGAGUUGAAGAGCGGGUUUCAUCUCAGCGGGCACGAACAAUAAGGGGUGGGUGAAAGCUCUUAGCGCAGCCUGCAUUGUCUCGUGCCUGCCUGAGAGAUGGAUUGUGCCUUUGAUAUGAUCCCCAACCACGCGCUGGUCGGCAUGCGGCGGCUUGGAAAGUGACCCCAGGAUGGGCGAGGCCACCCGCCGAGUUUAAGCAUAUCAAUA
This 731-nucleotide ribosomal RNA is filed under the name Zygostates alleniana. Its description in RNAcentral is "eukaryotic LSU rRNA". The stretch from base 275 to 430 matches the Rfam family "5.8S ribosomal RNA". Lineage: Eukaryota; Viridiplantae; Streptophyta; Magnoliopsida; Asparagales; Orchidaceae. The record is from RNAcentral.